UACGAAGGGGGCUAGCGUUGCUCGGAAUCACUGGGCGUAAAGGGUGUGCAGGCGGGCGACCAAGUGGGGUAUGAAAUAGCCCGGCUUAACCGGGCGAGGUUAUGCCAGACUGGUCGUCUGGAGUGCGAGAGAGGGGCGUGGAAUUCCGGGUGUAGUGGUGAAAUGCGUAGAGAUCCGGAGGAACCCCAGAGGCGAAGGCGGCUUUCUGGACCGUAACUGACGCUGAGACACGAAAGCGUGGGUAGCAAACAGG
Molecule: ribosomal RNA, 253 nt
Filed under: uncultured bacterium
Lineage: Bacteria
Description: partial 16S ribosomal RNA
Rfam family: Bacterial small subunit ribosomal RNA
Source: RNAcentral